This 109-nucleotide non-coding RNA is filed under the name Terriglobales bacterium. Its description in RNAcentral is "Acidobacteriales bacterium SAM-I sequence". It matches the Rfam family "SAM riboswitch aptamer (S box leader)". From Rfam's summary of the family: The SAM riboswitch is found upstream of a number of genes which code for proteins involved in methionine or cysteine biosynthesis in Gram-positive bacteria. The SAM riboswitch acts at the level of transcription termination control. Lineage: Bacteria; Pseudomonadati; Acidobacteriota; Terriglobia; Terriglobales. The record is from RNAcentral.
AUUUCAUGAAGAGUGGUUGAGGGACGAGCCCUGUGACGCCACGACAACCGGCCUGAGCAAUUCGGGCGACCGGUGUCAACUCUCUCCUGGUAACCGGGGAACAUGAGAU